Non-coding RNA from Opisthorchis viverrini, 107 nucleotides. The record is from Rfam. NCBI's taxonomy places the organism in Eukaryota, Metazoa, Platyhelminthes, Trematoda, Opisthorchiida, Opisthorchiidae.
GUACUCGCUUCGGCGGUACAUGUGCUAAAAUCGAAACGAUACAGAGAAUAUCGGUAAGGUCCCUGCGCAAGGAUGACACACAAAAUCAUGAGGCGUUCCAUUUUUUU